RNAcentral lists this transfer RNA (73 nucleotides) under Monoraphidium minutum. RNAcentral's name for it is "tRNA-Arg". It matches the Rfam family "tRNA". From Rfam's summary of the family: Transfer RNA (tRNA) molecules are approximately 80 nucleotides in length. Their secondary structure includes four short double-helical elements and three loops (D, anti-codon, and T loops). The record is from RNAcentral. Lineage: Eukaryota; Viridiplantae; Chlorophyta; Chlorophyceae; Sphaeropleales; Selenastraceae.
GGUUCCGUGGCCCAAUGGAUAAGGCGCCGCUCUACGGAAGCGGCGAUUCCAGGUUCGAUCCCUGGCGGAAUCA